Molecule: long non-coding RNA, 364 nt
Filed under: Gossypium raimondii (Peruvian cotton)
Lineage: Eukaryota; Viridiplantae; Streptophyta; Magnoliopsida; Malvales; Malvaceae
Description: long non-coding RNA (GRAI_LNC002772)
Source: RNAcentral
GAAUAUGCUAUUUUUCUCUAGAUUAUCUUAACGAUCUACUGGUCCUAGGAAGGGUUGUGAAGGUUCUAGAGAGGAUGUCUUAGAUCUGAGAGGUUUUAUUUGUUUUUGUUUUUGUUGUUUUUCAUGUUUUUCUAAUGGUUUGUGUUGGCUUCCUUUUGUGUUUAAUGUUUUGUUUUUUACUUGUCUUGUUUCUGGUGUCGGUUAGUGUGGUCUAAUUGUUUUGAAACCCCUCAGACGUUGUUUAGGGAUCCAAUGGUUGGGUUACACGCGUGGCUGAUUGUAACUGCUUUAUUCUCCAAGUAUUUAUGGCAUCAAUGGUUUUUACUCAAAAAAAAAAAAGAAUACUUAUAUAACCAAUAUAUAC